Molecule: ribosomal RNA, 1377 nt
Filed under: uncultured bacterium
Lineage: Bacteria
Description: bacterial SSU rRNA
Rfam family: Bacterial small subunit ribosomal RNA
Source: RNAcentral
GAUUGAACGCUGGCGGUAUGCUUAACACAUGCAAGUCGAACGGAAACGAUACUAGCUUGCUAGUAGGCGUCGAGUGGCGGACGGGUGAGUAACGCGUAGGAAUCUGCCUGAUAGUGGGGGAUAGCCCGAAGAAAUUCGGAUUAAUACCGCAUAAUCUAUUCGUAGUAAAGUGGGGGACUUUCGAGCCUCACGCUAUCAGAUGAGCCUGCGUAAGAUUAGCUUGUUGGUAGGGUAAAAGCCUACCAAGGCAACGAUCUUUAGCUGGUCUGAGAGGAUGAUCAGCCACAUCGGGACUGAGACACGGCCCGAACUCCUACGGGAGGCAGCAGUGGGGAAUAUUGGACAAUGGGGGCAACCCUGAUCCAGCAAUACCGCGUGUGUGAAGAAGGCCUGAGGGUUGUAAAGCACUUUCAAUUGUGAAGAAAUGUUAACGGUUAAUAACCGUUAGCCUUGACGUUAACUUUAGAAGAAGCACCGGCUAACUCCGUGCCAGCAGCCGCGGUAAUACGGAGGGUGCAAGCGUUAAUCGGAAUUACUGGGCGUAAAGCGUGCGUAGGCGGUUUAUUAAGUCAGAUGUGAAAGCCCCCGGGCUUAACCUGGGAACUGCAUUUGAAACUGGUCAACUAGAGUAUGGUAGAGGAAAGUGGAAUUUCUGGUGUAGCGGUGAAAUGCGUAGAUAUCAGAAGGAACAUCAAUGGCGAAGGCAGCUUUCUGGACCAAUACUGACGCUGAGGUACGAAAGCGUGGGUAGCAAACAGGAUUAGAUACCCUGGUAGUCCACGCCGUAAACGAUGAUAACUAGCCGUUGGGGGGAUUUACCCUUUAGUGGCGAAGCUAACGCGUUAAGUUAUCCGCCUGGGGAGUACGGCCGCAAGGUUAAAACUCAAAGGAAUUGACGGGGACCCGCACAAGCGGUGGAGCAUGUGGUUUAAUUCGAUGCAACGCGAAGAACCUUACCUGGUCUUGACAUCCUGCGAACUUUCUAGAAAUAGAUUGGUGCCUUCGGGAACGCAGUGACAGGUGCUGCAUGGCUGUCGUCAGCUCGUGUCGUGAGAUGUUGGGUUAAGUCCCGUAACGAGCGCAACCCCUAUCCUUAUUUGCCAGCACGUCAUGGUGGGAACUAUAAGGAGACUGCCGGUGAUAAACCGGAGGAAGGCGGGGACGACGUCAAGUCAUCAUGGCCCUUACGACCAGGGCUACACACGUGCUACAAUGGGAAGGACAAAGAGCCGCGAAGCCGCGAGGUGUAGCUAAUCUCAGAAACCUUUUCGUAGUCCGGAUUGGAGUCUGCAACUCGACUCCAUGAAGUCGGAAUCGCUAGUAAUCGUAGAUCAGAAUGCUACGGUGAAUACGUUCCCGGGUCUUGUACUCACCGCC